GGUGGCUCAGUGGUAGAGUGCUUGCCUGGCACGCAAGAGGCCCUGGGUUCGAUUCCUCAGCACCA
RNAcentral lists this transfer RNA (65 nucleotides) under Dipodomys ordii (Ord's kangaroo rat). It matches the Rfam family "tRNA". From Rfam's summary of the family: Transfer RNA (tRNA) molecules are approximately 80 nucleotides in length. The record is from Rfam by way of RNAcentral. Lineage: Eukaryota; Metazoa; Chordata; Mammalia; Rodentia; Heteromyidae.